RNAcentral lists this transfer RNA (72 nucleotides) under Hyphochytrium catenoides. RNAcentral describes it as "trnC(gca)". It matches the Rfam family "tRNA". From Rfam's summary of the family: Transfer RNA (tRNA) molecules are approximately 80 nucleotides in length. Their secondary structure includes four short double-helical elements and three loops (D, anti-codon, and T loops). Lineage: Eukaryota; Hyphochytriomycetes; Hyphochytriales; Hyphochytriaceae. The record is from RNAcentral.
GAUUAGGUCGCAAAGAGGUUUUGCAUUGCACUGCAAAUGCAAUUGACGGCGGUUCGAAUCCGCCCCUAAUCU